AACGUAGGUACCAAGCGUUAUCCGGAUUCACUGGGCGUAAAGCGCGUUCAGGCGGCUCAGCAAGUCGGGCAUGAAAUCUUUCGGCCUAACCGAGAGAGGCUGUCCGAUACUGCUGAGCUUGAGGGCAGUAGAGGGUGGUGGAAUUCCGCAUGUAGUGGUGAAAUGCGUAGAUAUGCGGAGGAACACCAGUGGCGAAGGCGGCCACCUGGACUGUACCUGACGCUGUAGCGCGAAAGCUAGGGUAGCGAACGGG
Molecule: ribosomal RNA, 253 nt
Filed under: uncultured bacterium
Lineage: Bacteria
Description: partial 16S ribosomal RNA
Rfam family: Bacterial small subunit ribosomal RNA
Source: RNAcentral